GUGAACACGCUAGUUUAAAGCAUACUCGGGGCCAAGGCCUCUUCGCUCUCUUCCUCCUUCGUCUUCGUCGUCGCCACGUCUCGCGCUCAAGUGCUCUCCACCGCGCUCGAUAGACUCUCUUCCUCCUUUGUCUUCACCAUGCGACAUCGGUGGGCGCGAGUGCGAGGAGCCAGAAUGCUGGCAGCGAGAAGAGGCAGGGUCACAGGCACAAUCUUAGCCAGUGCGCUUCGGAUCUUAGCGAGUCGUGUUCGACGCCGCGUGGUAACAGUGGCAGCAACACGCUACUCUACACGCACGUGAUCGCGUUCACGCUGUACGAGUUAGAGACCAUAACGAAGAGCUUCCGCGGCGACUACAUCCUCGGCAAGGGAGGGUUCGGGACCGUUUACAAAUGCUACAUUAAUGAGAACGUGAGAGUGGGACUCAAAUCGCUAUCUGUAGCGGUCAAAGUGUUGAACAAAGAGGGACUACAGGGACAUUGCGAGUGGCUCAUGGAGGUGAAUUUUCUAGAGUAGCUUAGGCAUCCUAAUCUGGUGAAGUUGAUUGGGUACUCCUGGCACUCUUCUUCAGAUCUUUCAGGUCAUUGGAAGUGAGGGUUGGGGUGGAUCUACUAGUAGCCAUGGACUUGAUGGUUCUCCAACUAACUGUUGGUCAAACUUUUAACCUCAGGGCCUAUUGUUUUUUAAAAAGAUUCCAAGCUUAGCUGAUAUGGCAGCCAAUCCUUUCCAUGCAUUAUUCUACCUUGUGUUUAUGUUGUCUGCCUGUGCCUUGUUCUCUAAAACUUGGAUUGAAGUCUCUGGUUCAUCUGCUAGAGAUGUUGCAAAGUAGUUGAAGGAACAACAAAUGGUAAUGCCUGGACAUCCGGAGUCGAAAGUUAUGAAUCAUGCAAUAUACAUAUUGAAUCAUUGAUGAUUCAAAAGUUAAAUUGGCGAUUCACCCUCCCCCCCCAUCUAUUUAUUUUUUUUUUGGUUGCAUUUGUUGCUGUUUAUUGAGUCACAGAUUUUCUUUGGGUUUGAAAAGCAUGGUUUUUUUUUAAUGAAGUUCUUGAAUAUAGAAUACAGGUAUGAUACUUUUGCACACCUCCAAUUUUCGGUAUUUUUUUCUUUAAUUGAAUUGUUAUCUCUUCUACAAAGCUUUAUCAUUAACAAAAAAAAUUUAAUAGAAAUUAUUGGUAAUCUAAUAUAUUUAUUUUCCUGACAUUCAUUAUUUUUCUAUUAGUGUUUAUUCUUUUAUUAUAUCUUUCUGUUUCUCUUUGUUAAUUAUUCCUUCAAUUACACCAAUGUGCGUUGUUAUUUUAUUUCAAUUUUUUGUAUUCAAACCUUGACAGCAAAAGCAGAGAGACAUGUGUAAAUUAUGUUAUCUACUAAUUUUUAAUUUUCAUUAUAGUUUGUAAUU
Cajanus cajan (pigeon pea) is the source of this 1395-nucleotide non-coding RNA. Lineage: Eukaryota; Viridiplantae; Streptophyta; Magnoliopsida; Fabales; Fabaceae. The record is from RefSeq and is a predicted model, not a curated record.